GGGGUUGUGGCUCAGUAGCUGAGCAGCUGCUUGGCUUGCAGAAAGUCCCAUGGUUCAAUUCUUGGCACCUCCA
Molecule: transfer RNA, 73 nt
Filed under: Sphaerodactylus townsendi
Lineage: Eukaryota; Metazoa; Chordata; Lepidosauria; Squamata; Sphaerodactylidae
Description: tRNA-Ala
Rfam family: tRNA
About the family: Transfer RNA (tRNA) molecules are approximately 80 nucleotides in length. Their secondary structure includes four short double-helical elements and three loops (D, anti-codon, and T loops).
Source: RNAcentral